This 78-nucleotide non-coding RNA is filed under the name Roseiarcus fermentans. Lineage: Bacteria; Pseudomonadati; Pseudomonadota; Alphaproteobacteria; Hyphomicrobiales; Roseiarcaceae. The record is from RNAcentral.
UGAGCGCGUCGCAAGGCGCGUGACCGCGGCGCGGAAGUCAGCAGAGGGCGUAGUAGGCCUGCGUAUCGGCUGAAGGCC